This 207-nucleotide ribosomal RNA is filed under the name uncultured bacterium. RNAcentral describes it as "partial 16S ribosomal RNA". It matches the Rfam family "Bacterial small subunit ribosomal RNA", at positions 568 to 774 of the family's 1533-position model. The record is from RNAcentral.
CGCGUAGGUGGUUUGGUAAGUCGGAUGUGAAAGCCCCGGGCUUAACCUGGGAACUGCAUUCGAUACUGCUUGACUAGAGUAUGGUAGAGGGAAGUGGAAUUCCAGGUGUAGCGGUGAAAUGCGUAGAUAUCUGGAGGAACAUCAGUGGCGAAGGCGACUUCCUGGACCAAUACUGACGCUGAGGUGCGAAAGCGUGGGGAGCAAACA